GGUGAAUCGGCCUGGAAGCUGUUCAUUCUCUCCCAAGCCUGAAACAGCGGAUAAACGACCCCACCUCAUGCUGGGAAGGGAGAGCUUGGGAUCCCUGGCACGUGAGAAAGAGAGCCUGGCAUAGAUCAGAGCUCUCCAUCCAGAGUGUCAUGACUUAGCUGCGUGCUUUCACCAGCAGGGAGGAGGGAACUGAUACUGGAGAAAUAUACUUUCCUCCUCCAUCAUGGUGAUUCAUAACCUUCUAAAACCUUAUGAUUCUGAAAACCCACACAAACACAUUGGGACCUCUCCCAGCCCUUGACUCACUGUCGGCAUUCUCAAGAUGACCACAAUGAGCAGCAUUGAAGAGCCAGCGUUCAAAUGCUUCUCCCACAUGGGAGUCAGUAUUCUGCAGAGAUGGAUGAUUCUCAGAUUACCACUUAGCUUCCUGAAGCCAGCAACCUAUGUCAAAGCAGCAGUAGGACAAAGAACAUGGCUGCCGCUUCAAAUCUUAUGUGAAUUCACCUCAUCACUGGAACCAAAUUUAUAUCUAAUAAAAAGCUGUUACUCCGGAAAAAAUGCCACUCUCCUCCCCACUCAGCUCCAAACACAGUGUGAUUGUAAUGAACACCUAUCCUGAUGAGGAAUGCAGGCUGCAUCUUGGAGAAAAUUCAAAUAGAGGUCCAUUUGAAAAUGGAAGAUAUGUAGUUACCAAGGAAACUCGCUGUGAGUCAACAAACUGGCUUAACUUCGAGCUUUGUGAGUUUGUUCCAUACAAAAUUAACUUGCUAUUCAUUUUUACCUACUCUCCUAAAAUGCUAGGAAUCAAAAUAAAAUUAUAAAUAUUAUUAGCCAUGCAAUUAAAAGAGUAGUUUAUUUUGUUAUUUCUUGUCAUUGAUUUUGAAGAAAAUAUGUAUUCUUUUUCAGCCUUUAUGGAUGCUCUCAGCCAUACACAUGCAUAUGCCUCCAUGGUUAUGCAAUGGAAAAGGAAGAAUGUCAGGAAAAAUGCAGAGGACAGAUUAGGUAGGUGAAUCUGCCAUGAGGGGUUAAGAGACCAUGUAAGGAGGGUCAAAGGUUCAUUUCUUUGAAAACACAUCACAGAAGCAAGAUCUGAAUGGAAAUCUUACCUUCAGAAGGAGGUGGGAGGAAAAUGAGAAAAGUCUGGGGAUGAAAAGAAGCACAGGGCUGCCUUUUUUUUUUUUAGACGGAGUCUCACUCUGUUGCCAGGCUGGGGUGCAGUGGUAUGAUCUCGGCUCACUGCAACCUCCGCCUCCCAGGUUCAAGCGAUUCUCCUGCCUCAGCCUCCUGAGUAGCUGGGACUGCAGGCACCCACCACCACGCCUGGCUAAUUUUUGUACUUUUAGUAGAGAUGGGGUUUCACCAUGUUGUCCAGGCUGGUCUCGAAGUCCUGACCUCAGGUGAUCCGUCUGCUCGACCUCCCAAAAUGCUGGGAUUACAGGCGUGAGCCACCACGCCCAGCCUAGGGCUGCCAUUUUUAAGUAAGAUGCGUUAUGGUCCAAAUACAAAUAGACAGAAGGAAGGUGGAAAAGAGGCCGGGUGAGGAGGCAGAGCAUGCCUUACCUCUUCAGAUCUGUGAACAUUUGGAGGUUUUAUUCCAAGAACAAUCAGAAGUACCUAAUGACUUCUGGCCAGGGAGAUUG
Long non-coding RNA from Pan paniscus (pygmy chimpanzee), 1640 nucleotides. The record is from Ensembl. Lineage: Eukaryota; Metazoa; Chordata; Mammalia; Primates; Hominidae.